Molecule: ribosomal RNA, 292 nt
Filed under: uncultured bacterium
Lineage: Bacteria
Description: partial 16S ribosomal RNA
Rfam family: Bacterial small subunit ribosomal RNA
Source: RNAcentral
GUGUCAGCCGCCGCGGUAAGACAGAGGGUGCAAACGUUGCUCGGAAUCAUUGGGCGUAAAGCGCGUGUAGGUGGCUCGCCACGUCGGACGUGAAAGCCCGGGGCUCAACCCCGGCAGUGCAUCCGAAACGAGGGAGCUAGAGUGCUGGAGAGGCGGGUGGAAUUCCCGGUGUAGAGGUGAAAUUCGUAGAUAUCGGGAGGAACACCGGUGGCGAAGGCGACCCGCUGGCCAGCAACUGACACUGAGACGCGAAAGCGUGGGGAGCAAACAGGAUUAGAAACCCGCGUAGUCC